This 203-nucleotide long non-coding RNA is filed under the name Gallus gallus (chicken). Lineage: Eukaryota; Metazoa; Chordata; Aves; Galliformes; Phasianidae. The record is from RNAcentral.
UUAAUCCUACAAGUAGGGAGAAUUUUGCAAUGUGGACUUUCCAGGCAGAAUCACAAACAAGAUCCCACUUGCUGACGACGUUCUGGACGAGGCCGGCCCGGAUGCGGUAGUGCCACUCGUGGCAAUCGCACUCGCUGGCGUUGCCAGCAACGGGGGUGGGCAGAGCGGCCGGGGGGAAGAUGCUGCUGUUGCCGCUGCGGUUG